CUGCCUGCCGAUCCAAUAUCUAGGUUAUGAACAAAGAAAAUUGAUUUGCAACUUUCACGAGAAUUCUCAAUGACAUAAAUCGUAAUUAAUUACUGUGGAUCCGAAUAUUGCCUUUCGUGAGUCUCCUCUACGCAAUUCUGAGUUAAUUGAAUCAAAACUUUCUGAAAAUUCUGAUGACGAAUAUAAUUAAACAAAAGAAAAAAUGGCUGUAAAAGGGAGAAAGCACGUGAUUG
Molecule: long non-coding RNA, 233 nt
Filed under: Capsicum annuum
Lineage: Eukaryota; Viridiplantae; Streptophyta; Magnoliopsida; Solanales; Solanaceae
Description: long non-coding RNA (CANN_LNC022013)
Source: RNAcentral